UGUUGCCUACGGGGGGCAGCAGUGGGGAAUAUUGCACAAUGGGGGGAACCCUGAUGCAGCGACGCCGCGUGAGUGAAGAAGUAUUUCGGUAUGUAAAGCUCUGUCAGCAGGGAAGAGGAAAGACGGUACCUGACCAAGAAGCCCCGGCUAACUACGUGCCAGCAGCCGCGGUAAUACGUAGGGGGCUAGCGUUAUCCGGAAUUACUGGGCGUAAAGGGUGCGUAGGUGGUUUCUUAGGUCAGAGGUGAAAGGCUACGGCUCAACCGUAGUAAGCCUUUGAAACUGGGGAACUUGAGUGCAGGAGA
RNAcentral lists this ribosomal RNA (305 nucleotides) under uncultured bacterium. RNAcentral's name for it is "bacterial SSU rRNA". It matches the Rfam family "Bacterial small subunit ribosomal RNA", at positions 333 to 655 of the family's 1533-position model. The record is from RNAcentral.